RNAcentral lists this ribosomal RNA (468 nucleotides) under uncultured bacterium. RNAcentral describes it as "partial 16S ribosomal RNA". It matches the Rfam family "Bacterial small subunit ribosomal RNA", at positions 28 to 507 of the family's 1533-position model. The record is from RNAcentral.
GACGAACGCUGGCGGCGUGCUUAACACAUGCAAGUCGAACGGAAAGGCCCUGCUUUUGUGGGGUGCUCGAGUGGCGAACGGGUGAGUAACACGUGAGUAACCUGCCCUUGACUUUGGGAUAACUUCAGGAAACUGGGGCUAAUACCGGAUAGGAGCUCCUGCUGCAUGGUGGGGGUUGGAAAGUUUCGGCGGUUGGGGAUGGACUCGCGGCUUAUCAGCUUGUUGGUGGGGUAGUGGCUUACCAAGGCCUUGACGGGUAGCCGGCCUGAGAGGGUGACCGGCCACAUUGGGACUGAGAUACGGCCCAGACUCCUACGGGAGGCAGCAGUGGGGAAUAUUGCACAAUGGGCGGAAGCCUGAUGCAGCAACGCCGCGUGCGGGAUGACGGCCUUCGGGUUGAAAACCGCUUUCGCCUGUGACGAAGCGUGAGUGACGGUAAUGGGUAAAGAAGCACCGGCUAACUACGUG